This is an RNA transcript of Musa acuminata AAA Group (dessert banana), 1393 nucleotides long. It is a transcript of the gene named mitotic checkpoint protein BUB3.1-like, with no coding region annotated. The record is from RefSeq and is a predicted model, not a curated record. The transcript is spliced from 11 exons. Lineage: Eukaryota; Viridiplantae; Streptophyta; Magnoliopsida; Zingiberales; Musaceae.
AUGAAAUCUUUGCGCUUCUUUGCUAUGGGUUGGAUCGCUGGGGCCGUGCUUGCGUUCUUCAUUCCCUCCAGCAUCAGCAUCUCCAUCGCUGCAUGCUCUGCCUCAACUGAUGAAGGAGGCACAACAGCCGUGCCUAUGGAUGGUGGAAGAGUCAUGACGGUCAUCACCCACAGGAAACUGGAGCAUCCAUUUCUCCCAUCGGAUCGCGAUUUCCUUCAUCCUAUCUCGGUCGCUUUGACCGCUGCCACCCUUCCGCCCACCACCGGCGGGAGGGAGCUAUCCGUGCCUCCCUCCGAUGGCAUCUCCAACCACAGCGACCUCCUCCUCGUCUCGUCCUGGGAUAAGAGUCUUCGUCUUUACGACGCCGGGGCGAACCUUCUCGAGGGGGAGUUCGUGCAUGCUGGCCCCGUCCUCGAUUGUAGCUUCCACGAUGAUUCAGCAGGGUUCAGCGCUUGUGCCGAUCAUACGGUUAGAAGGUAUGUCUUUGGUUCAGGCAAGGAGGAUAUUUUGGGAUGUCAUGAUGCCCCUGUUCGUUGUGUUGAGUACUCUUAUGAAGCAGGCCAAGUAAUUACUGGAAGUUGGGACAAGACACUGAAGUGCUGGGAUCCUAGAGGUGCAAGCGACCCAGAGCGUGCACUUGUUGGGACAUUCCUGCAGCCUGAACGAGUGUACUCUCUGUCUCUAGUUGGUCACCGGUUGGUAGUUGCUACUGCAGGAAGGCAUGUGAACAUCUAUGAUUUGCGUGAUAUGUCUCAACCAGAACAACGAAGGGAGUCAUCACUGAAAUACCAAACUAGAUGUGUUCGUUGUUAUCCCAAUGGCACCGGCUUUGCUCUUAGUUCUAUUGAAGGUCGAGUAGCUAUGGAGUUCUUUGAUCUAUCAGAGACUGCUCAAGCUAAGAAGUAUGCAUUCAAGUGCCACCAAAAAACAGAGGCUGGGAGAGACACCGUUUAACCUGUCAAUGCAAUUGCAUUCCAUCCAAUCUAUGGGACGUUUGCAAUGGGAGGUUGUGACGGUUAUGUUAACCUAUGGGAUGGCAACAAUAAGAAAAGACUUUAUCAGUAUUCAAAAUACCCGACAAGCAUUGCUGCAUUAUCUUUCACCAGAGACGGCCAUCUGCUUGCCGUAGCAUCUAGCUACACAUUUGAGGAGGCUGACACACUUCAUGAGCCCUAUGCCAUCUUUGUGCGGAAUGUAAACGAAGUCGAAGUAAAACCAAAGCCAAAGGCAUAGCCUGCACCACCUUCAUAAUAAACUGGUCCUCGAAUAUGAGAAAUAGCUCCUUCAAUUUGUGGUGUAUUUAAUUUUCAGUUGUUUUGUUCUCACAUUUUUUGUAUUUCUGGAAAAUUUAUGCCUGUAUCUGUUUCUGCCUAUUGUGGCUGCUGUAUUUGAA